GGAGAGGUGUCCGAGUGGCUUAAGGUGCACGCCUGGAACGCGUGUAUGGAUUAAUCGUCCAUCGCGGGUUCAAAUCCCGCUCUCUCCG
This 88-nucleotide transfer RNA is filed under the name Fidelibacterota bacterium. RNAcentral's name for it is "tRNA-Ser". It matches the Rfam family "tRNA". Rfam says of the family: Transfer RNA (tRNA) molecules are approximately 80 nucleotides in length. Their secondary structure includes four short double-helical elements and three loops (D, anti-codon, and T loops). Lineage: Bacteria; Pseudomonadati; Fidelibacterota. The record is from RNAcentral.